GUCGGUAAUCACACACUAUUGAUAACAGAAUACAAUGGAGCGACUGUGAUCACCACAGUGUGGAAGCAAACAAUACACGCGGUAAUACUUUCUUGUUUCAUAACGACCACGUUUUACGUCUCAAUUCUUGCAAGUUGUAAAACAUCCGGACACUUAUCACUAUGUGGACGAACACGCCAUUACAUGAACGCGGAACGAAAGUAUUAUAUGUUGUACUGUUUUACUGUUGGUGAAAAAAAAAAAAAAAAACUGUUGGUAUGGAAGCCUGAUAAGUACGCCACAUGAAGUAUUACGGUAUAUAAUUAUGUGUACAUUAAAUAGGUUCGUAUUUGUUGAGAGAAAAAAAUAUACAAAACACGUUGGAAACGUUGCGCAACACGGUGAAACUUAAUUAACACCUUCUCGUUCAUGAACUUGGUCGAUAUCGUAACGAGCCAACAAGAUUACAUGACAUCUCCACAUCCUGCAAACGGUGAAAUCUGGCUCGCGCUCAAUUCCAUCCCGUUCCACUAUUCAGCCAGCGAACAUCUCUAGACGUCCACAAUCUAGAACAAUCCGAGGCACGUUCGCUUCUCUGAACUGCCUCCUACGAAUGAAACCCGGGCGAGAAACAAGAAUAACGAAUGGCUGCUUGCGCCUUUUUUUUCUUUCACUCAAGGUCAAAAGUUUUCCACACAAUUUUCAACACAUAGCAUUCGUUAAUGUAA
Long non-coding RNA from Dalotia coriaria, 707 nucleotides. RefSeq lists it as uncharacterized. The record is from RefSeq and is a predicted model, not a curated record. The transcript has 3 exons. NCBI's taxonomy places the organism in Eukaryota, Metazoa, Arthropoda, Insecta, Coleoptera, Staphylinidae.